CACCCACGGGGUUAAAGACCAUACAACGGCGAGUGAAGCGGCACAGCUCAAAUUUGAAAGCUAGCCUUCGGGUUCGCAUUGUAAUUUGUAGAGGAUGAUUUGGGGAAGCCGCCUGUCUAAGUUCCUUGGAACAGGACGUCAUAGAGGGUGAGAAUCCCGUAUGUGACAGGAAAUGGCACCCUAUGUAAAUCUCCUUCGACGAGUCGAGUUGUUUGGGAAUGCAGCUCUAAAUGGGAGGUAAAUUUCUUCUAAAGCUAAAUAUUGGCGAGAGACCGAUAGCGCACAAGUAGAGUGAUCGAAAGAUGAAAAGCACUUUGGAAAGAGAGUUAAAAAGCACGUGAAAUUGUUGAAAGGGAAGCGCUUGCAAUCAGACUUGUUUAAACUGUUCGGCCGGUCUUCUGACCGGUUUACUCAGUUUGGACAGGCCAGCAUCAGUUUCGGCGGCCGGAUAAAGGCUCUGGGAAUGUGGCCUCCACUUCGGUGGAGGUGUUAUAGCCCAGGGUGUAAUACGGCCAGCCGGGACUGAGGUCCGCGCUUCGGCUAGGAUGCUGGCGUAAUGGUUGUAAGCGACCCGUCUUGAAACACGGACCAAAAAAAAGAAAAACCUUUCUUACUUCCUCUCUUGUUUUUUUCUCCUUCUCGAUUUCGGAGUUUUUUGUCAAUAUAAU
Molecule: ribosomal RNA, 668 nt
Filed under: Aureobasidium proteae
Lineage: Eukaryota; Fungi; Ascomycota; Dothideomycetes; Dothideales; Saccotheciaceae
Description: eukaryotic LSU rRNA
Rfam family: Eukaryotic large subunit ribosomal RNA (bases 1-587)
Source: RNAcentral